UGCCCCAUAACACCAAUUUAUUUUUUCGUAUAAGACCUAACAGCUCAUGAAAGGUCAUUUACCAAAAUUUUAGAAGAUUCUUGAUUUUCUUUCUUUUGUUUUGAAACCUAAAUAAUACCAACGAAAUACAAGGUAAAAGUCCGAGUCAGCCUUUUCCCGCCAUAUUUUAAAUCUCAAAUAUCUCGAAAAGGAGGUCCAUGACCCAUCAAUAUUUUUAGCUUAUUUUUAUC
Molecule: long non-coding RNA, 230 nt
Filed under: Mytilus galloprovincialis (Mediterranean mussel)
Lineage: Eukaryota; Metazoa; Mollusca; Bivalvia; Mytilida; Mytilidae
Source: RNAcentral